UACGGAGGGUGCGAGCGUUGUCCGGAAUCACUGGGCGUAAAGCGCGUGUAGGCGGCUCUGCAAGUCGGAUGUGAAAGCCCUGGGCUCAACCUAGGAAGUGCACUCGAAACUGCAGAGCUUGAGUCUCGGAGAGGAUCGCGGAAUUCUCGGUGUAGAGGUGAAAUUCGUAGAUAUCGAGAGGAACACCGGUGGCGAAGGCGGCGAUCUGGACGAUGACUGACGCUGAGACGCGAAAGCGUGGGGAGCAAACGGG
This 253-nucleotide ribosomal RNA is filed under the name uncultured bacterium. Its description in RNAcentral is "partial 16S ribosomal RNA". It matches the Rfam family "Bacterial small subunit ribosomal RNA", at positions 524 to 776 of the family's 1533-position model. The record is from RNAcentral.